UUUGCGUCGAAGGUAUACCGGUAAGGAGUGCUGGAGCGAAUAGAAGUGAGCAUGCAGGCAUGAGUAGCGAUAAUUAAUGUGAGAAUCAUUAACGCCGUAAACCCAAGGUUUCCUACGCGAUGCUCGUCAUCGUAGGGUUAGUCGGGUCCUAAGUCGAGUCCGAAAGGGGUAGACGAUGGCAAAUUGGUUAAUAUUCCAAUACCAACAUUAGUGUGCGAUGGAAGGACGCUUAGGGCUAAGGGGGCUAGCGGAUGGAAGUGCUAGUCUAAGGUCGUAGGAGGUUAUACAGGCAAAUCCGUAUAACAAUACUCCGAGAACUGAAAGGCUUUUUGAAGUCUUCGGAUGGAUAGAAGAACCCCUGAUGCCGUCGAGCCAAGAAAAGUUUCUAAGUUUAGCUAAUGUUGCCCGUACCGUAAACCGACACAGGUGGGUGGGAUGAGUAUUCUAAGGCGCGUGGAAGAACUCUCUUUAAGGAACUCUGCAAAAUAGCACCGUAUCUUCGGUAUAAGGUGUGGUUAGCUUUGUAUUAGGAUUUACUCCGAAAGCAAGGAAACUUACAACAAAGAGUCCCUCCCGACUGUUUACCAAAAACACAGCACUCUGCUAACUCGUAAGAGGAUGUAUAGGGUGUGACGCCUGCCCGGUGCUCGAAGGUUAAUUGAUGGGGUUAGCAUUAGCGAAGCUCUUGAUCGAAGCCCGAGUAAACGGCGGCCGUAACUAUAACGGUCCUAAGGUAGCGAAAUUCCUUGUCGGUUAAAUACCGACCUGCAUGAAUGGCGUAACGAGAUGGGAGCUGUCUCAAAGAGGGAUCCAGUGAAAUUGUAGUGGAGGUGAAAAUUCCUCCUACCCGCGGCAAGACGGAAAGACCCCGUGGACCUUUACUACAGCUUGACACUGCUAUUUGGAUAAGAAUGUGCAGGAUAGGUGGGAGGCUUUGAGUAUAUGACGCCAGUUGUAUAUGAGCCAUUGUUGAGAUACCACUCUUUCUUAUUUGGGUAGCUAACCAGCUUGAGUUAUCCUCAAGUGGGACAAUGUCUGGUGGGUAGUUUGACUGGGGCGGUCGCCUCCCAAAUAAUAACGGAGGCUUACAAAGGUUGGCUCAGAACGGUUGGAAAUCGUUCGUAGAGUAUAAAGGUAUAAGCCAGCUUAACUGCAAGACAUACAAGUCAAGCAGAGACGAAAGUCGGUCUUAGUGAUCCGGUGGUUCUGUGUGGAAGGGCCAUCGCUCAAAGGAUAAAAGGUACCCCGGGGAUAACAGGCUGAUCUCCCCCAAGAGCUCACAUCGACGGGGAGGUUUGGCACCUCGAUGUCGGCUCAUCGCAUCCUGGGGCUGGAGCAGGUCCCAAGGGUAUGGCUGUUCGCCAUUUAAAGCGGUACGCGAGCUGGGUUCAGAACGUCGUGAGACAGUUCGGUCCCUAUCUGCCGUGGGCGUAAGAAGAUUGAAGAGAUUUGACCCUAGUACGAGAGGACCGGGUUGAACAAACCACUGGUGUAGCUGUUGUUCUGCCAAGAGCAUCGCAGCGUAGCUAAGUUUGGAAAGGAUAAACGCUGAAAGCAUCUAAGCGUGAAGCCAACUCUAAGAUGAAUCUUCUCUAAGCUCUCUAGAAGACUACUAGUUUGAUAGGCUGGGUGUGUAAUGGAUGAAAGUCCUUUAGCUGACCAGUACUAAUAGAGCGUUUGGCUUAUCUUUAAUAAAGCAU
This 1700-nucleotide ribosomal RNA is filed under the name Campylobacter coli. Its description in RNAcentral is "partial 23S ribosomal RNA". It matches the Rfam family "Bacterial large subunit ribosomal RNA", at positions 1244 to 2925 of the family's 2925-position model. Lineage: Bacteria; Pseudomonadati; Campylobacterota; Epsilonproteobacteria; Campylobacterales; Campylobacteraceae. RNAcentral also lists the same sequence under 1 other name. The record is from RNAcentral.